Long non-coding RNA from Cynoglossus semilaevis (tongue sole), 247 nucleotides. RefSeq lists it as uncharacterized. The record is from RefSeq and is a predicted model, not a curated record. Lineage: Eukaryota; Metazoa; Chordata; Actinopteri; Pleuronectiformes; Cynoglossidae. The transcript is spliced from 2 exons.
ACUUUGGUGGUUAUUUAAAGCGCUUCAUUUUAUUUUGGAAAGUCAGUGUUGCUUCCUGUGCAGUUGUUCACGGCAGGUGUAUUCAGGGUUUAACGGAAGCACAUAGCCCAUUGGUUUAUGACCUGUGGUUACCUGUGGUCACCUGUGGUCAUUUGAACAUAAAUAAAUAAAUAAAAGAAGACCAAGGAUAAACACGAGUUAUAGCUUCAGUGUGCUUCCUGUUGAGCCUUUUCGGAGGGCAAAAUUU